CAACCGCUGACGAUAGUCGUGAAUGUUG
This 28-nucleotide non-coding RNA is filed under the name unclassified sequences. Its description in RNAcentral is "L19-Flavobacteria ribosomal protein leader". It matches the Rfam family "L19-Flavobacteria ribosomal protein leader". The record is from RNAcentral.